RNAcentral lists this long non-coding RNA (329 nucleotides) under Chelydra serpentina (North American snapping turtle). RNAcentral describes it as "lncRNA (ENSCSRG00000017565.1)". Lineage: Eukaryota; Metazoa; Chordata; Testudines; Chelydridae. The record is from RNAcentral.
CCGGUGGCUGCAGGCUUGGGCUGCACCGGGCGGGCGGGGAGCCGUCGGCUCCGUGUGUGCGCGCGCGGGGAGCUCGGAGCUGCGGCGGGCAUGAGGUAGGUGAGAGCCCUGAGUAUCUGAGCAAGGCAGCAUGGCAACCCGAUGUGCUGCUGCAUGGCACAGAGGCUGCGUGUGGUGCUCCGCUGAAAAUUGAGGAUAGCCCUGGUUCUGAAGCCAGACUGGGAGAGGCCAGGGAUUUUGCUGGGAUCUCGGGAUCUGCUUGGGGCAAGCCAGGAUCCAGACCUGACAGUGGAGACAGCGGUCGAGCUGAGCCAGCAGGAGGAGCCGGG